AGGGACAGAACUACCGAAACUGUACAGAAACUUAUUCAUGUGUGCUACUACAGCAGCAAGAAUGUUACUUGCCCAAAAGUGGAAAGAAGCAGAAGUCCCAGCAAAGGAAGAAUGGAUACGAAAACGUACGGAAUAUGCAGAAAUGGCGAAACUUAACCGGAAGAAUAAGAAAUCAAGAUAACAAACUUUUUAUAAAAGAAUGGAAAUGGUUUAUGGAAUAUUUACAGAUAAACUGCAAACAGAUAAAAACAUUGUUGUAAUAACCUGCAGUUUCAUAAGAGUAUAUAUUUAAAGAAGAUAAAUGAGCAAAUUAAAUGAAUUUGGAUAUGCAGAAGAUAUUAAAAAAAAUUUUUUUAAAGGAACCUCAGAAAGAGGGGGGAGGAAGUUAAAUUUUGAAAUGUUAAAUUGAUGGUAAAACUAAUAAAAUGUAUAAUAAUAAUAAUAAUAAUAAUAAUAAUAAUAAUAAUAACAACAACGGGAUUGGGGCCAGGUUUUUCUUACUUUCAGUCAAGUCCCACAUUGCACCCAUUUUCUUUCUGUCCCAUAGAAUUUACUGGAAACCAUGAGAAUUCAGCUAGCUCAUCUCUGCAUGUUUCCAGUCUUUUGCAGGUAUAUCUUCCCUGCAUCUUUCUUUCUUUCUUUCUUUCUUUCUUUCUUUCUUUCUUUCUUUCUUUCUUUUUUCUUCUUUUUUUUGGGGGGGGGAUAAGAGGCUGACAGUAAAAGUGCGAUUGAAUUGUAUUGGCAGUUAAAGUGCAAGUGUGUGAUAUGAUAAAAGUUUCUGUUUAUUGAUGAAAUGUUUAUUCUGCUGGAGCUUUUGCCGUUUUCCUGGAUCUCUUAUGGGUUAUUGCAAUGGUUUUAUUGUCAUAUGGAUAAGAUCAAGUUUUGACUUUCAGAUUAUUAUACACUCAGUAAGGCGAAUUUGUGGAGGUUCAAUCUCAUGAUUCCCAUUUGGUUUUAUUGUGAUCUUAGAUGGUGCUUUCUGAGAAACUGCAGUAAAUGGCAGGUAAGACACUUUUGGAAACCAAUAAACUGAACUCACUCUUGAAUAUGAGGCUGGUUAAACAAAAUGGAAAAUUAGCAGUUCCUACAAACUGCAGAAAAAAACAAAAAUACUAGCAGCUUACAUGACCUCAUUAAUUUGCUGAAUGCUCAGCAUAUAUUCUGCUGAAGGAUAAUAUGAAAUAUUUUUAGCACUAAUAAAUCUGAGGUAGAGGGGAAAAAAUAUCCUACCUUUGAAUUACCAUGACUAUAUUUUUGCACUCAUCAGCCAUAUUUUAGUAAAUUGAAGAAAUAUGAACACUGAAGCUUUAAAUCUUAAUUCCAAAUGUAGCCAGCAAGCUGUCCUUUAACUUCAGCACGGCUCCAGGUAGCAAGGCUCUGAGUGCAGGAAUUUUUCAAAUAGGUGUCUUUAAGGCUAGGUUAGAAACAUUCUUCCUAAUAUGCUUCCUUUCCGUAUGAGAUGAGGGAGCAUGAACAAAAAUUGAUCCUCCACAUGCUUUCUGAUGGGGGGGGGGAUCUCCCUAAAAGUCUCAAGAUGCUAUUUUUGAUCUACGUCUUUGUUUUGUUAACUGGUAACAAAAGAAAAACAAUUUCAUAUCUUCUGAUAAAACAGUAUUCACCAUUUUAGUACAAUAGCUAUAAUCGCAAUCUUUCCUGUGAGGCCUGAUCGUCAGAAUUACCAGUGAAAAUAUUGCUUUCCUCCCAUCUGUCUAUAAAUUUAUUCAAUAGCUGUCCUUCUUUCUUCACACUGAAUAAGUUUCAUAAUCUUCCAAACUUGUAGCAACCAAAAAUUAUCUUUAGCAGUUUUCUAUCUGCAAGUUUUUUUCAGAGCACAAUUCUUCAUGACAUGGGAGCUGCAUACAUGGGAUACUGCAAGUGAAAUGCAACCAUGGGGCUGGAUUGAGCCCAUUGUGUUAGAGGAGAGCUGUUUAAACUCUCUCAUUUUCUCCUUGAGCAUACCGUAUUUUUUGCUCUAUAAGACUCACUUUUUCCCUCCUAAAAAGUAAGGGGAAAUGUGUGUGCGUCUUAUGGAGUGAAUGCAGGCUUCGCAGCUAUCCCAGAAGCCAGAACAGCAAGAGGGAUUGCUGCUUUCGCUGCGCAGCAAUCCCUCUUGUUGUUCUGGAUUCUGAAAUUUAGAAUAUUUUUUUUCUUGUUUUCCUCCUCCAAAAACUAGGUGCGUCUUGUGGUCUGGAGCGAAAAAUAUGGUACUUCCUCUGAAGCUUGUCUGCAUCCUGCAAGGGAAAUAGAAGGUACCUAAAACAACAAGGACUCUUGUGGUGCCUUGAAGACUGAUGAAUGGAUAAAAAAAACUUAUGGAAUAUGCAGAAAUGGGGAAACUUACCAGAAGAAUAAGAAAUCAAGAUAACACACUUUUUAUAAAAGAAGGGAAACUGUGGAAUAUUUACAGAUAAAUUGCCAACAGAUUAAAACAUUAGCAGAUGAUUGUAAUAACCUGCAGUUUCCUAAGAGUAUUUAUUUAAAGUAGAUAAUUAAAUGAACAAAUUAAAUGAAUUUGGAUAUGCAGGAUAUAUUAAAAAAUAAAUUUAAGGAACCGCAGAAAGAGGGGGAAGGAAGUCAAACUUUGAAAUGUUAAAUUGAUUGUAAAUCUAAUGAAAUGUAUACACUUGAAAAGUAUAAAUAAAAACUUGAAGACUGA
Non-coding RNA from Podarcis lilfordi (Lilford's wall lizard), 2656 nucleotides. Lineage: Eukaryota; Metazoa; Chordata; Lepidosauria; Squamata; Lacertidae. The record is from the annotation of a GenBank genome assembly.